Puntigrus tetrazona (Sumatra barb) is the source of this 628-nucleotide long non-coding RNA. RefSeq lists it as uncharacterized. The transcript is spliced from 5 exons. The record is from RefSeq and is a predicted model, not a curated record. Lineage: Eukaryota; Metazoa; Chordata; Actinopteri; Cypriniformes; Cyprinidae.
AGAGAGAGAGAGAGAGAGAGAGAGAGAGAGAGAGGUGUGAGGGGAGGGACGGGGCUGAAAAGGAAAAAGGAGCAGUCUUGGUGUGGAGAGAAGAGGAAAUAAGCCCGGAUCCAGAGGGAUUCUCAUUGUUCUGAUUUUGGAGCCCUCUACAGGCCAAACCUAAAAUCCAAAGGUCAGGAGGCUUUGGGGAAACAUCUGACUCCAACGCUGAUAAGACGUAGCGUGGUAAAACAUUACCUAAACCUUUGAGGAACUUGUUGACGCCUCUGUUCUCACCGCCUGGCAGAGAAUCGAGGCCCUGCCUCCUGAACUCUCUUUCCUGCACGAACCCGGCGAACAUCUGCGUCUCCAUGAAGACCUCCAGGAAUCUCCGCAGGCUCUUGGAGGACACGGCCUUGCGGAAAGCCUCGCGCUGGAAGGACGAGGGAGUCGGAGACGAGGAAGACGAGGCAGAGGAUUCUUCAUCGCGGUCGCUGCCGCCUAUAAAGAGUUUGUGGUCCCUCACCUCCUCCAGCGGCAGCUCUUUGAGACGGGCCAGGGAGCUGGAGAGCAGCCCGACUAUGAAGGGUGUAGGAGUACAGACGAUGUCCAUCAUGGACGGCGGCAGGACCGGGAUGUACGUGUGCUG